RNAcentral lists this ribosomal RNA (1346 nucleotides) under uncultured bacterium. Its description in RNAcentral is "bacterial SSU rRNA". It matches the Rfam family "Bacterial small subunit ribosomal RNA", at positions 28 to 1381 of the family's 1533-position model. The record is from RNAcentral.
GACGAACGCUUGCAGCGUGCUUAACACAUGCAAGUCGAACGGAAAGGCCCUGCUUUUGUGGGGUGCUCGAGUGGCGAACGGGUGAGUAACACGUGAGUAACCUGCCCUUGACUUUGGGAUAACUUCAGGAAACUGGGGCUAAUACCGGAUAGGAGCUCCUGCUGCAUGGUGGGGGUUGGAAAGUUUCGGCGGUUGGGGAUGGACUCGCGGCUUAUCAGCUUGUUGGUGGGGUAGUGGCUUACCAAGGCUUUGACGGGUAGCCGGCCUGAGAGGGUGACCGGCCACAUUGGGACUGAGAUACGGCCCAGACUCCUACGGGAGGCAGCAGUGGGGAAUAUUGCACAAUGGGCGGAAGCCUGAUGCAGCAACGCCGCGUGCGGGAUGACGGCCUUCGGGUUGUAAACCGCUUUCGCCUGUGACGAAGCGUGAGUGACGGUAAUGGGUAAAGAAGCACCGGCUAACUACGUGCCAGCAGCCGCGGUGAUACGUAGGGUGCGAGCGUUGUCCGGAUUUAUUGGGCGUAAAGGGCUCGUAGGUGGUUGAUCGCGUCGGAAGUGUAAUCUUGGGGCUUAACCCUGAGCGUGCUUUCGAUACGGGUUGACUUGAGGAAGGUAGGGGAGAAUGGAAUUCCUGGUGGAGCGGUGGAAUGCGCAGAUAUCAGGAGGAACACCAGUGGCGAAGGCGGUUCUCUGGGCCUUUCCUGACGCUGAGGAGCGAAAGCGUGGGGAGCGAACAGGCUUAGAUACCCUGGUAGUCCACGCUGUAAACGGUGGGUACUAGGUGUGGGGUCCAUUCCACGGGUUCCGUGCCGUAGCUAACGCUUUAAGUACCCCGCCUGGGGAGUACGGCCGCAAGGCUAAAACUCAAAGGAAUUGACGGGGCCCCGCACAAGCGGCGGAGCAUGCGGAUUAAUUCGAUGCAACGCGUAGAACCUUACCUGGGUUUGACAUGGAUCGGGAGUGCUCAGAGAUGGGUGUGCCUCUUUUGGGGUCGGUUCACAGGUGGUGCAUGCCUGUCGUCAGCUCGUGUCGUGAGAUGUUGGGUUAAGUCCCGCAACGAGCGCAACCCUUGUUCACUGUUGCCAGCACGUUAUGGUGGGGACUCAGUGGAGACCGCCGGGGUCAACUCGGAGGAAGGUGGGGAUGACGUCAAGUCCUCAUGCCCCUUAUGUCCAGGGCUUCACGCAUGCUACAAUGGCUGGUACAGAGAGUGGCGAGCCUGUGAGGGUGAGCGAAUCUCGGAAAGCCGGUCUCAGUUCGGAUUGGGGUCUGCAACUCGACCUCAUGAAGUCGGAGUCGCUAGUAAUCGCAGAUCAGCAACGCUGCGGUGAAUACGUUCCCGGGGCU